CGUCCAUCCAUCUGUCAAAAAGGCAAGGCCAGAGCUUCUCUUCCGCCUCUUCCGGCAUCAGCAUCAGACAAGAGUCCAAAGUGCGGCUUGUGGCGGGAGAACCCCGCCAACGACUUCUGCUACCUGAUCAACGACAUGGCCACCAAGACCUGGAAGGAGGCGCGAGACGAGUGCGCCCGCCGCAGAGGCAACCUGCUCGCCAUCACCGACUUACAGGAACACAACUUCAUACACGGUAGGUCGUCCUCAGUCUGCUUCGCUUUUUGGCGCAGCCGAAGUACUUAAUGAA
Molecule: long non-coding RNA, 289 nt
Organism: Syngnathus acus (greater pipefish)
Lineage: Eukaryota; Metazoa; Chordata; Actinopteri; Syngnathiformes; Syngnathidae
Exons: 3
Source: RefSeq, a predicted model, not a curated record